Molecule: ribosomal RNA, 449 nt
Filed under: uncultured bacterium
Lineage: Bacteria
Description: bacterial SSU rRNA
Rfam family: Bacterial small subunit ribosomal RNA
Source: RNAcentral
GAUGAACGCUAGCGGCAGGCCUAAUACAUGCAAGUCAAGGGGGCCAGCAAUGGCACCGGCGGACGGGUGCGUAACGCGUACACAACGUACCUCUGACAGGGGGAUAGCAUUGGGAAACUGGUGGUAAUACCCCAUAGUAUUGCUGAGAGGCAUUUCUUGGCGAUUAAAGUUUCGGCGGUCAGAGAUCGGUGUGCGUCCGAUUAGCUAGUUGGCGGGGUAACGGCCCACCAAGGCGACGAUCGGUAGGGGGUGUGAGAGCAUGGCCCCCCACACGGGUACUGAGACACGGCCCAGACUCCUACGGGAGGCAGCAGUGGGGAAUAUUGGACAAUGGGCGCAAGCCUGAUCCAGCAAUGCCGCGUGAGUGAUGAAGGCCUUCGGGUUGUAAAGCUCUUUCGCCCACGACGAUGAUGACGGUAGUGGGAGAAGAAGCCCCGGCUAACUUCGUG